UGAAUGCACCUCCGUGUUUGUGUUAUUCACUGGCCUACCUAAUAACCGAAAUAAAUUUGUAAUAACUAUUUUGUUUUUUUAACUGAGACUCGUUUCCUCAUGGCGGUGCUAUUUCCUCCUCCAAACCUUCACCACCACCACCGUAAUAACCAGCAACACCAUCACCACCAUUCACUAAUUGUGCUGCUCUCACCACCACCUUAAUCAGGAUGGAAGGUAGCAAAAGAGAGAUACAAGGUGGUCAGAAUCUCUUCACCAGCAGCACCUCCGCCACCACCUCAACAAUGCGGUGCCAUCAUGUCUUGGGUUAUCCACUAGUUAAUUUUCAGUGGGUAGAGUGUGAAGACACCAUAAACAAGUGUAUCAAGAUUUAAACAAGUCGUGCUACUCGGCCAUUAGGAUAUCUGGCGCCGUUCAAGGCUGCGCUCGAUUAGACUAACCAAGAUGUAAAGCACAACUUGUACUUGGCCGAUUUUUAAUAAGGGAAGUCGGAAAGAAGCAUUUAAAAAUUUGCCCGUGCUUGUGAGUAUGAUGAUGAGCUUGCAGUAAAACUACUAGUAGUAUGUAAAAUUUUCGGUGUAGGUUCCGCAAGAUGCUGAAAACAGAAAAGGUUCAUAAAGAAAAGAAUAAAAACUUUGGGCCAUCUAGAUUUACUCGCCUCAAGGAUAUUUUGAUUUGUCUUGUCAAUAGUACCAUAAUAUCACAUGAUUUUUAA
Papaver somniferum (opium poppy) is the source of this 715-nucleotide long non-coding RNA. RefSeq lists it as uncharacterized. The transcript has 2 exons. NCBI's taxonomy places the organism in Eukaryota, Viridiplantae, Streptophyta, Magnoliopsida, Ranunculales, Papaveraceae. The record is from RefSeq and is a predicted model, not a curated record.